This is a long non-coding RNA of Ficedula albicollis (Collared flycatcher), 1096 nucleotides long. The record is from Ensembl. NCBI's taxonomy places the organism in Eukaryota, Metazoa, Chordata, Aves, Passeriformes, Muscicapidae.
GGGGGGGGGGGGGGGGGGGGGGGGGGGGGGGGGGGGGGGGGGGGGGGGGGGCGCCCUGCGGAAGCCCCUUGGGAAGCCGCCGGGGGCGGUGACAUUUCGGGGACAGUACACAGGUGCGUGCUGCUGGCACGGGGGGGCUGGAGGCGGCCACCCUCACCUUGGGGACGCUGGCCGCGCUCACGGUGGCGUUUGGCAGGGACACGGUACCAGGCGGGCACAGCACGGGCCACCCCCGCACCCCGAGAGGAGCCGGGCACCUCGGGGUGUCCCCGAUGUCACAGGGACAGGGUGGCAUCAGGUGAGUGGCCCCCAGCUCCUCCCAGCCUUCCCUACCACCCCGAACAGCUGCUAAUUACCUUAAUUAAUUAACCGGAGAGGCUCAGGGAGGGGACAAACAAACCCAUUGCUCAUGGCCUGACGCUCUCCCCAGUGUCCCUUGGCCAGACCCCACUGUCCCCCCAACCGGGGCAGCUCUGGGGGUGCCCUGACCUCGUGUGGGUCCUGCACGGGUCAAACUCCCCCUUGGCAUCUGUGCCUGUGUGGGCAGAAAUUCCUGGGGUUCCCUGGGGUUCCCUGGGGUUCCAGGUGUCACCGGCAGCAGUGUCACCUGUCCCAGCCCUGUCUUUGCAGAUCCCCUCCCAUCUCAUCAGCCCCCGCAAACCACUCAGCUCUUCCCAAACAUCCCUGGCUGGCUCUGCCGGGGACAUUCCCGAUCUCCUCUCUCCACAGCUGGCCUUGGGGGAGGUGAUGCCCCCCGGCAGCCCCAGCACAGCACCCCCAGGAGAACGUCCUGCCCCACCUGCCGGGCACCCACGGGCCCCCCUGCGCCGGGCAGCAGGGGCAGAGCCACGCGCGAGCGUGGCCCUGGUGGCUCCUGUCCCCCAGGGGCCGAGAAGCCGGAGCCGCCCGGAAUCUGGUACUUGGCAGCCACCCCUGCUGCCGCCACUGCCACCGUCUGCCUGGCACCCGUCCCCCUCGUGCCUUACGUGCCCUCCAUGCUGUAAGGAUGCUCUGGGGCUGCGAGGGGACUCGGGGGCUGGGUCAGCAUCCCCCAGGGGUGCAGGGGAAACCCAGGAGGGGCUGGGUUUGCCCAUGG